This 491-nucleotide ribosomal RNA is filed under the name uncultured bacterium. Its description in RNAcentral is "bacterial SSU rRNA". It matches the Rfam family "Bacterial small subunit ribosomal RNA", at positions 30 to 517 of the family's 1533-position model. The record is from RNAcentral.
AUUGAACGCUGGCGGCAUGCCUUACACAUGCAAGUCGAACGGUAACGGGCCUUCGGGUGCCGACGAGUGGCGAACGGGUGAGUAAUGCAUCGGAACGUACCUUUCAGUGGGGGAUAACGUAGCGAAAGUUACGCUAAUACCGCAUAUUCUGUGAGCAGGAAAGCAGGGGAUCGCAAGACCUUGCGCUGAUUGAGCGGCCGAUGUCAGAUUAGCUAGUUGGUGAGGUAAAGGCUCACCAAGGCGACGAUCUGUAGCGGGUCUGAGAGGAUGAUCCGCCACACUGGAACUGAGACACGGUCCAGACUCCUACGGGAGGCAGCAGUGGGGAAUUUUGGACAAUGGGGGCAACCCUGAUCCAGCCAUGCCGCGUGAGUGAAGAAGGCCUUCGGGUUGUAAAGCUCUUUCGGCCGGGAAGAAAUCGCAUGGGUUAAUACCUGUGCGGAUGACGGUACCGGCAUAAGAAGCACCGGCUAACUACGUGCCAGCAGCCG